GAGUUUGAUCGUGGCUCAGGAUGAACGCUAGCGGCGCGCCUAAUGCAUGCAAGUCGAGCGAUGAGGCACCUUUGGGUGUACAUCAGCGGCAGACGGGUGAGUAACACGUAGGUGACCUACCCCGAAGACGGGGAUAACAGGUGGAAACAUCUGCUAAUACCCGAUGGACUCUGAGCGGAAGCGAGGAGUAAAGGCUACGGUGCUUCGGGAGGGGCCUGCGGCCUAUCAGCUAGUUGGUAGGGUAACGGCCUACCAAGGCGAAGACGGGUAGGGGGUGUGAGAGCACGGCCCCCCACAAUGGGACUGAGACACGGCCCAUACUCCUACGGGAGGCAGCAGCAGGGAAUAUUACGCAAUGGGCGGAAGCCUGACGCAGCGACGCCGCGUGGAUGAAGAAGGCCUUCGGUUGUAAAAUACCUUUUCUAGGGGACGGAGGAAGGACGGUACCCCGUACGGAAGUAAGCGUCGGCGUAACUACGUGCC
This 483-nucleotide ribosomal RNA is filed under the name uncultured microorganism. Its description in RNAcentral is "bacterial SSU rRNA". It matches the Rfam family "Bacterial small subunit ribosomal RNA", at positions 9 to 509 of the family's 1533-position model. The record is from RNAcentral.